AGAGUGGUAGCGACAGGGGCUGGCUCAUAACCCGAAGGUCGUGGGUUCAAAUCCUGCCCCCGCUACCA
Molecule: transfer RNA, 68 nt
Filed under: hydrothermal vent metagenome
Description: tRNA-Pseudo-CAT
Source: RNAcentral